Molecule: long non-coding RNA, 4123 nt
Organism: Mus musculus (house mouse)
Lineage: Eukaryota; Metazoa; Chordata; Mammalia; Rodentia; Muridae
Product: predicted gene, 35383
Exons: 4
Source: RefSeq, a predicted model, not a curated record
UCUGGCUAGUGAACUCUGAGGAUGGGCACGAACAGUGCUGAUGUGUUUAAUGAGAGUUCAUUGCUCCUAAGAACCAAGAUGAGAUCGUAGAGAACACGGAAUCAUUUCAAGGUAGGACACAAAAAGGGAUGCGACUGCAGAGAACACGGAAUCAUUUCAAGGUAGGACACAAAAAGGGAUGCGACUGCAGAGAACACGGAAUCAUUUCAAGGUAGGACACAAAAAGGGUAGCGAAAUCGAUACAAAACAAAACAGAAACCAGAAAGGAGAAGAAAAGCCUCCAUCCUGCGGGAGGGCUUGAUGAAGGACAUGCAAGAGGGUGCUCCAAUCACUCAGUGAAGAGCAUGUCAGAUUAUCACUGGGUUUGGUGCCUGCAGAAAGGAAGACAGCUUAAGUGCUACACGGGUCACAGAUGACAACAUCACAAUCAAUUCUGCUCCUGUCAUUGGACAACACAGAGAGAUGGCCGAAUGACUAGCCCUGAGGCCUUCACUGUGGCAGAAACAUGACUGAGGAGUACCGUGCUAUGCCCAGAGAGCCUGAGAGAAGUGCUGUUUCUCAGAUCUUAGCCUGGUUUGAAUCCCCCUGGAGCUCUCACUAUUGCAAACAUUUAUUGCCGCUGCCUUGUUCCCGAGUACUGCAUCCGAACCACCUCUGACUCUAUGGCAAUGGAUGUUCACUGAGUGAUUGGAGCACCCUCUUGCAUGUCCUUCCUGAGUGUAUUAAAGGAUAUUAUUGGUAGCCACUCCUAACAUUUCCUUAAAGAUCUCUUUAUAAAAGUCACCCUUCCUCAGCAGACCAAAUAGUCCUUCACGAAGAAGGAAAAUGAAUGAAGAAAGUCAAUGUUUUUAUUGAGGUUAUUAUCUGGGUGUAACACUUUUGGCCUACUGGUCUACCCAGGCGUAGGGCUAAAGAAUCCUUGCAAAUAGCAACGGACCAACCCCAUGCUACCGUGACUUUAUUAUAGGCAUUAAAAAGCAAACAGGAAGGGCUUGAGCAAUUUAAAGAUGGUCCCUUUGCUAUGAGGAAUUGUGACAUGGCUACUGAAUGGGUGGCUUAGCACUGUGCCUGGCACAGAAAACCAGACUGGAAACGUUACUUGUCAUCUGGUGCACUGAUAGCUACGCGGGAGCAGGGGGAUUGUCUUACUAAUCAGUGUGACCUCAUUGGCUAGAGAGCCCACCUGGGCUCAGCUCGCUGCCAAGUGUGGAGACUGAGCCCGACAGAAUGGCCAAUCCUAAUGUGACCUUACACUUAUCAGGCGCCAAACUGCCAUAGGUCACUGACCUCAAAUGUGCUGAGAAGACAGGCACUAGUGACCAUCAGAUGACCUCAGACCACCUCUUAAACCAAUCACUGUGCCACACCAUUGGUGUCCGUCCACUCACAGUGACAAAUAUAAGUGACGACGGAUCUGAUGGGGACCUGGAUAAAGCCAGCUUGGCUGUAUCAGUGCCUGACAAAGUGAUGUUCCUGGUCAGUCUCAAGGCAGACAGGGAUGCUGACGUGUGAAAGAGGCAUCUUAUGGCCUAAUGAAAAAACAGAAGCUGGACCAGUGGUGGUCUUCUCCAUCUCCCACAGGAGUAAGACAUCUUUCCAGGACCUCCUGAACAUCCUUCACAGAAUGGGAGAAAGAUCGCACACCGCAGAGAUCAAAAAGAGAGGCGCUACACACGGCAUCCACCUGGGCCCCCUCGUUUCAUUUCAUGAGCCUCAUUCAACCCCAAACUCAUACUACAGUGUCCUGACCUCAGAACUGAAUUUUUUUCUAACAUAGUUACUCUUAGAAUUCAGUUAAGAGCAACAUUGAAGCUUUAGGUUUGAUAGUGUUAAAACAGAAAUUUAAAUAUAUGCAUAAAAGUCUAUGCUAGUUCAUAAAAAUGUAACUCUAAACUUGGAUCCUGACUGACUAGUUUUUCACCAGUUCACUACAAAUGCCUAUAUUUGAGGCAGAUCCACCAAGCGUGGAUGCUUAACUAAAACUAGCCAAAUAAUAAAAAAUCACAGCGGUCCAUUCUCUUGUAUUCUCCAUGAAAUGUUCACAAGUCCUAAAUAUUUUGCAACUUCUAUUUCUAUUCUUAGAAAAUGACUCUCAAAUGAAAAAUCGGACUUAUGUGGAAAUAGCUGCUUCUCAUGAAUUCCACCUCUCACCAGUAACUUUCCACUAUCAUUAUACCGUGUCCUAAACAAGGGAUUAGCACAGCGAUGGAGAAUCUCAACUACGGGAAGAUCCAGGAAAACCAAAUAGCCAUCACAGAAUUAUCCCAGGCUUGCUUUUUAAUCAAGCUAGUUUGGGAGUUUGUUUGCUUUAGUUUAAUAGCAAUCGUCCCUAGCAUCCUCCAGGGAGAGCUAAAAGCAACACGGAGACGAGAUGAGUAUGGUAACCCUCGGGUACUUUCAGUGUUUUAGUCUCCCGGUUGUACUUGGCCAUUCUAUUCCUGUCCUUCUAAUUCCCUCCCAUGAAUUAUCACAGGUAUCAUCUCUCUAGACUAAACAACCGGAGACAAAACAAACAAGGAUCAGUCGUGGGCAGGACGCAAGGAGAACGCCGGGCGCUUGACAGAGGGUAGGGUUGCAUUCAUUGUACAAGCUUAUACCAAGCAUCUGCUAAACGAUUGCAGUUGGCUGAUCCAGAGCCUAAGGAAGAAGACAGCUGGGCACAUGGGCCAACACAACAAGGAUGGUGCGUGAUGACAGCUACCGCCUAUACUGUGGAGGGAGAAGUGAGCUGGAAUGAGGCAGACCAGAGGGUUCACAGGGAAGGUAACGUUAGGAGCUGAGCCUGGGGGUCUGAUAAAAAAACCAACUUCUUAGGAGACAGACAAUAGGUGGAAGCAAAAUCCAGACAGAUGGAAAAGCAUGGGCUGAGCCCAAAAUAGGAAACGGUAGCCAUGUGUUACGAAGAACUUGGAUUCCAGCCAAGGAUGCGAAAACGAAGAGUAGAAAGACCAGGGUGACUGACGGAGGAGAAGAGCUCUUGGCAGGGCUACUCAACUGGGAAAGGGUGCACGAAAAUUCUGAGUCACAUAACAGCUCCCCGGUCCCGGGAAACCGUGGUUCUGUCCCAUGUUCCUGUGAUCUCAUGAGCCAAGGGUAGGGUGUCUGUCUCCAAUGAGAAGGAAGACCUACUGUCUGCAGGCUCGAACACAGGGAAAGCCUCUGCCCCAAAUCCAAUAUACAUCUGGUAACUUCCAGCCACUAAAGAAUCUAGUUGGUCUUUGAAAAAUCACUGAAGACAUUAACUGUCCCUACCUUUCUUUGGAGUGAUUGUGGUGACAGGGGUGCCAGAGCCACGUGAUUGUUGGCCGAGGGAUGCCAUACACGGUGCAAGUGAGGACUUGUCUGCUGCCCAGCGGAUAGAGAGGUGGGCUUGGAAGCGAGGACACGGACUUUUCGUAGAUCUGAGGUUUCACUAGAGAGGAAGAGAAGCAGAGUGAGGUCAAGGGCAGAGCCGGGGGCUUCCUCCGGGAGCUCUCUGGAGAGACCAGUCACACUGGCUUUGGAUGCCGCGGGUAGGGGAGCAAAAAAUGGUCAUAUUACGUAGAAAAAUGCCUAUUGGUGAGACAUAAAAGCCACCUUGCAUACAAAAGAUAAGAAAACAUGAAUAGUUGAGCCGUGGUGGCACACUCCAUUAGUCCCAGCAUUUGGGAGGCAGAGGCAGGCGGAUCUCUGAAUUCAAGGACAGCCUGGUCACAGCCAGGGCUACACACACACACACACACCACAGAGAAAUUGUGAAGUGGUUAUGACAGGGACAGAGUGUGGCGUUUUUUCCUCUGUUUUUCCGUGGUGCUAGGGAUAGAACCAGUGUUUCCUACUUAGGGGGCAAGUGCUCUGCUACUGAACUCCAUCCGAACCAUUAGAAGCGGUUUAAGAAUAUAAACAUGUAUGUGGGGCUAAAGAGAUGGCUUAGCAGUUAAGAGCACUGGCUGCUCUUGCAAGAGGAUCUGGGUUUGAUUCUCAGGCUGGCUCACAACCAUCUGUCAGUUCCAGGGGAGUUGACAUCCUUUUCUGACCUGCUCAGACACUAGGCAUGCAUGUGGCACACAUACAUACAUACACCACACAGGCAAAACACUCAUAUAAUAAAAUAAAAUAAACUCAAGAAUCAAUUUUUUUAAAA